AAAUUUGCUGACCUCUGCUCUGGAACGUCAGGCUGCUCCCUAUGUUGGUGAAUCACGUUUGUCAGAGCUGGGGAGCAGAAGUGGUAUUUGAAAAGAAAAUGCUGUUCAUUAGGAUGCUGAGGCGAGCGGGGCAGAGCCCAGCCUGUGGCUGUUGGACGCCUGUCCUGCCGGUCCGCUUUCUGGGCAUCUCCCCUCGGCAAAUUCCAGCAGAUGCUAACUUCCACUCUGCGUCUUUCUCUGACACAGACCAUCCACGAGUCUUAAUUACAGGGGCUCUUGGCCAGCUGGGAGUGGGGCUUGCUAAUCUUUUGAGGAAACGAUUUGGAAAGGACAGUGUGAUUUUGUCUGACAUAAGGAAACCCCCCGAUCAUGUCUUUCACAGUGGUCCAUUCAUUUAUUCUGAUAUCUUGGAUUACAAGAAUCUUCGGGAGAUCGUGGUAAACAACCGCAUCACCUGGCUGUUUCAUUACAGCGCUUUGCUCAGCGCCUUUGGAGAAGCAAAUGUUUCCCUGGCGAGAGCAGUGAAUAUAACUGGCCUGCAUAACAUCCUGGAUGUCGCUGCGGAACACAAUCUGCAAUUGUUUGUGCCUAGCACGAUUGGGGCUUUUGGACCCACCUCUCCCCGGAACCCAACCCCCGAUCUCUGUAUUCAGAGACCCAGGACCAUCUAUGGGGUGUCCAAGGUCCACGCGGAGCUCAUGGGAGAAACUAUGCAGUCCAGAUUUUCCAUGAUGCCACAAAGCAUGGCAAAUUCGAGUGCAACCUGGAAGCCUGCACGAGACUGCCCAUGAUGUACAUUGACGACUGCCUCAGAGCCACCCUGGAGGUCAUGGAGGCCCCAGCUGAGUCCCUUUCCAUGAGGACCUACAAUGUCAGCGCCAUGAGCUUCACACCCGAGGAGCUGGCCCAGGAGGUCCUCAAGCACGUGCCGGAAUUCCAGAUCACAUACAACGUGGAUGCCGUUCGCCAGGCCAUAGCGGAUGGUUGGCCGAUGAACUUUGAUGACAGCAAUGCUCGGAAGGACUGGGGGUGGAAACACGACUUUGAUCUUCCAGAGUUGGUGACUGCCAUGUUGAACUUCCAUGGUUCUGAAAGCAGAGUUGCCCAAGCCAACUGAAAGAAUCUGGAAGAGGAGCUCCUGUGUCCUGGUCCACUGUCAAGGGAGAACUGUCACAACUCCAAGGCUACCGGUGGUUAUUAGUUUUCUGCUCACAUGUUUGUGUGUGGCGUUGCUGGGAUGUGCCUUGUGUUGCUACACAAACAGCGAUCCCGAAGUCUGCCAGCAAGAUAGAUGGCCUGGAGUCCAGAACAGACUGGAUUAGUGAAAGCUACUGCAGUGCUUUGGACACUUACUAUG
Homo sapiens (human) is the source of this 1357-nucleotide long non-coding RNA. Ensembl annotates it as L-threonine dehydrogenase (pseudogene). Its record names the gene TDH. NCBI's taxonomy places the organism in Eukaryota, Metazoa, Chordata, Mammalia, Primates, Hominidae. The record is from Ensembl.